RNAcentral lists this ribosomal RNA (495 nucleotides) under uncultured bacterium. Its description in RNAcentral is "bacterial SSU rRNA". It matches the Rfam family "Bacterial small subunit ribosomal RNA", at positions 28 to 520 of the family's 1533-position model. The record is from RNAcentral.
GAUGAACGCUAGCGGCAGGCCUAAUACAUGCAAGUCGAACGGAUAUAUGUUUUUCGGAAUAUAUAUUAGUGGCGCACGGGUGAGUAACACGUACAUAACUUGCCCUCAAGCGGGGGAUAGCCUUGGGAAACUGAGAGUAAUACCCCAUAGAAUUAUUGGACGGCAUCGUUUGAUAAUUAAAACUACGGUGUUUGGGGAUAGAUGUGCGUCUGAUUAGCUAGUUGGUGAGGUAACUGCUCACCAAGGCGACGAUCAGUAGGGGGCGUGAGAGCGUGGCCCCCCACACGGGUACUGAGACACGGACCCGACUCCUACGGGAGGCAGCAGUAAGGAAUAUUGGUCAAUGGAGGGAACUCUGAACCAGCCAUGCCGCGUGAAGGAUGACGGCCCUCUGGGUUGUAAACUUCUUUUGGAUGGGGCGAAAAAACGGGAUUUAUCCUGGACUGACGGUACCAUCAGAAUAAGCACCGGCUAACUCCGUGCCAGCAGCCGCGG